ACGGGGUGCAGCAGGGGCGAAACCUUCGCAAUGGGCGAAAGCGCGACGAGGGGAGCCCGAGUGCCCUUCCUUUCGGGAGGGCUUUUCUGGAGCCUAAAAAGCUCCAGGAAUAAGGGCUGGGCAAGACGGGUGCCAGCCGCCGCGGUAAUACCCGCAGCUCGAGUGGUGGCCACUAUUAUUGAGCCUAAAGCGUCCGUAGCCGGACCCGUAAAUCCCUGGGUAAAUCCUGGCGCUCAACGUCAGGAAUUCCGGGGAGACUGCGGGUCUUGGGACCGGGAGAGGCCGGAGGUACUCCCGGGGUAGGGGUAAAAUCCUGUAAUCUCGGGGGGACCACCUGUGGCGAAAGCGUCCGGGUUGAACGGGUCUGACGGUGAGGGACGAAGGGCAGGGGAGCAAACCGGAUUAGAUACUCGGGUAGUCUUGGCUGUAAACGCUGCCUGGUUGGUGUUGUCGGUCUUUCGGGGGCCGGCAGUGCCGGAGCGAAGGUGUUAAGCGGGCCGCUUGGGGAGUACGGCCGCAAGGGUGAAACUUAAAGGAAUUGGCGGGAGAGCACUGCAACGGGAGGAGCGUGCGGUUUAAUUGGAUUCAACGCCGGAAAACUCACCGGGGGCGACCCGGCCUAUGUGGGCCAGGCUGACGACCUUGCCCGAAUAAGAGCCCGGAGAGGUGGUGCAUGGCCCUCGUCAGCUCGUACCGUAGGGCGUUCACUUAAGUGUGAUAACGAGCGAGACCCCCGUCCCCAGUUGCCACCCGUCCCUCCGGGGGCGAGCACACUGGGGAGACCGCCAGCGCUAAGCUGGAGAAGGUGGGGUCAACGGUAGGUCAGUACGCCCCGAAUCCCCCGGGCUACACGCGCGCUACAAAGGGCGGGACAAUGGGUUGCGACCCCGAAAGGGGGA
This 899-nucleotide ribosomal RNA is filed under the name uncultured archaeon. Its description in RNAcentral is "bacterial SSU rRNA". It matches the Rfam family "Archaeal small subunit ribosomal RNA", at positions 325 to 1222 of the family's 1478-position model. The record is from RNAcentral.